ACGGAAGGCAGCAGUGGGGAAUAUUGCACAAUGGGGGAAACCCUGAUGCAGCAACGCCGCGUGAGUGAAGAAGUAUUUCGGUAUGUAAAGCUCUAUCAGCAGGGAAGAUAAUGACGGUACCUGACUAAGAAGCUCCGGCUAAAUACGUGCCAGCAGCCGCGGUAAUACGUAUGGAGCAAGCGUUAUCCGGAUUUACUGGGUGUAAAGGGAGCGCAGGCGGUUUUUUAAGUCUGAUGUGAAAGCCCGCGGCUCAACUGCGGGACUGCGUUGGAAACUGGAGAACUAGAGUGUCGGAGGGGCAAGUGGAAUUCCUAGUGUAGCGGUGAAAUGCGUAGAUAUUAGGAGGAACACCAGUGGCAAAGGCGGCUUGCUGGACGAUAACUGACGCUGAGGCUCGAAAGCGUGGGGAGCAAACAGGAUUAGAUACCCUGGUA
This 434-nucleotide ribosomal RNA is filed under the name uncultured Lachnospiraceae bacterium. Its description in RNAcentral is "partial 16S ribosomal RNA". It matches the Rfam family "Bacterial small subunit ribosomal RNA", at positions 341 to 792 of the family's 1533-position model. The record is from RNAcentral. Lineage: Bacteria; Bacillati; Bacillota; Clostridia; Lachnospirales; Lachnospiraceae.